This 382-nucleotide long non-coding RNA is filed under the name Sorghum bicolor (sorghum). Its description in RNAcentral is "long non-coding RNA (SBIC_LNC014551)". The record is from RNAcentral. Lineage: Eukaryota; Viridiplantae; Streptophyta; Magnoliopsida; Poales; Poaceae.
UCAAGAGGAUUCUUGAUAAUUCUCUAAUUGUGUUUCUAAUUGUUUUCUAAUUAUCUUUGUUCUUCAAUAUUAUGAAUAUGACUUUGUUCUACUUCAAUAUAUUGCUUAUGACUUUGCUCUACUUGCUUAUAUUCAAGAUUAUAUUGUUCUUAGUUUAUCAUAGUUAUGUACUUGGCUUAGUUAGAUACGAUCUAUAUACAUGCUUAGGAUCGUAUAGCGUUUAUCCAUCGGAUCCAUGGGUAAAUGAUAGAUAUUGUGUAGGCGUGGUGCUUAUACCGUAUUUAUCUGCGAUUGUACCCAAUAUGCCAGAUCGUGGGGUGGUUCGUGAUAGUGACAGCUUCAUUGAUUCUUAUAUAGUCCCCCUCUCGUGUAUUGGGCCGGC